Non-coding RNA from Miniopterus natalensis, 2464 nucleotides. The record is from RefSeq and is a predicted model, not a curated record. Lineage: Eukaryota; Metazoa; Chordata; Mammalia; Chiroptera; Miniopteridae.
AGUGAGCUCUUUUUUAAUCUGUAGGUAAUGUAGGCUGUCGGGGGGAGGGGCAAGAGUGAAAGCAGGGAUAUCAGCUAACAGACCAAGCAGUCCGGGAGAGAGAAGUGUUGCUGUGACUGGGGUGACCGUGGUUAACCUUUAUCCGCGGAAAGGGAACUGUAGUUCCUGGCAAGGAGUGGGUCCCGCUGGCGGAAUGGGAACUUUCCUUCCCACUUCAUUUGAGUUAUUUCUCGCUCCUUCUAUGAUGAUGGUUGGAGUGCGUAAUGAUGUCAGGACUAUUUAUCUCUCAACAGAUGUCCCUUUUGACCUGCUAGCCCGCCCCCCUUUUUCUGGGCAGUAUCUAUAACAACAAACGUUGUCUUGGAACUCCCCUCCUCGCUCAACACCUCCCCCUUCUGACAUGCUGCGCGGGCACUUUCUUAUGAGUGUCUGACAAGGAACUUUUGGCCUGGGAUUCCCCUCGCUCAACACAGGCCCCUUUCGACGUGUAACCUGGCCCUUAUCUGAGGAGGAUACAACAAGCUUAGGCCUUGGAUUCCCCUCGCUGUUGCUGUCUCUUCUGGGCUAAGAUUUUUUAGUUCCCCUGCUACUUCGAUGGCGAACAGUUCCCUCAAAGUUGUCUGAGUGUUAUAAGCAUUUAUUCAAACUCUCCUGAUUCUUUGGCUGGCUUUUUAUUGACUGCUCCAUUUAUUUCGGAAAAAAACACUCUAACAUCACCAUGAAUCGCAAAAGAAAAUUACAAGAGAGUGAAAUUAUGGAGGAACUUUUCGCAGACAGCGAUUCCGACGCACAAUGACAGCUCCAAGGAAGAGGAUGGCAGCAUCGACCAAGACUUAGCUCAAACUCAGGCAAAGGAGUGGGUGAAAAAGUCAAGGAGCUACGUAUUUCAACAUCCAUUCAUUUUUUCCGGUGGUGAAAAGGGUUUGAAUGCAAAUGAAGCUCCUAAUACCACGGCAGGUUCCUCACCCAUGACAGUAUUUUUCCUCUAUUUUCAAGAAGUUAUUCGCCUGCUAGUGCUUGAGACAAACAGAUAUUACUCCCAGUUUAUACAGAAAAAGGAAGUUGGAUCAUCUCUGGAACCUGACAUAAAAUACUCUGAAAUGUGUACUUUUUUGGCAAUUGUGAUUCAAAUGGGACAUGAUAUCCGAGAUUCUCUAAAAGACUAUUGGGCACGAUUGGAACAGUUUUACACCCCUUUCUAUGGCAAUGGCACGCGAUAGGUUCUUACAUAUCCUUAGAUUUUUACAUUUCACAAACAAUGAGAAUGAACCGAACAGGAAUGAUGAAAGUUAUGAUAGACUCUGGAAGACAAGAAACCUUUCUGAUGUUCUCAAUGAAAAAUAUUCUAAACUUUACAGGCCUUCAGAGUACCUAGCAGUGGAUGAAGUCAUUGUUCUUUUCAAAGGCAGAGUGAUUUUCAAACAAUACAUUCCAAAAAAACAUGAGAGGUUCGGAAUAAAAAUCUAUAAGUUGUGUGACUCAGCGGGAUAUACAGUAGAUAUGACUGUUUACCUGGGGAAGGACAGGCAAAACGCAGCAAAAGACAUAACAGCUACGCAUGCGACUGUGAAAACUUUGACGAGAAGAAUGGAAGGAAGGGGGCUUAAGCUUAUGAUGGAUAAUUUUUUUCUUCUGAACUUUUCGAUGACCUAAGGAAAAUAAAAAUAAAUUGCUGUGGGACAGUUAGAGCAAAUCGAAUUGGUUUGCCGAAAGAAUUCAAAGACAAGAAAUUGAAAAUGAAACGCGGAGAUGUGAAGGUGAGAUGCAGACGAGAUCUAACGGCGAUUAUUUGGAGAGAUAAAAGAAAUGUCCAUAUGUUGACAAAUAUGCACGUGCCACCUGAAGAGAGGAACUUCUGUGAUAGCCAGGGGAAAGCUCUGAAACCUGGAGUCAUGAAAGACUACAACAAACAUCUGGGUUACGUUGAUAAAUCCGACAGAAUGGCUAAUAGUUACUCCAUUAGCAGACAAACUUGGAAGUGGACGAAAAAGUUAUUCUUUCACCUCCUUGAUCUGACUAUUCUAAAUUCAUGGAUUGCCUUUGUUUCUGUAGGGAGCAAGAUGACCCAUCGAGAUUUUUGUUUGGCGCUCGUGAGAAAUCUUUUGGAGGCCGCUAGGGAGGAGAAUCAACCUACUUAUUGCCUGAUAGGCCAGCCUGCUGCUGCGUCAACAAACAGCAUUUGCUUUGACGCGAGAGAGAACGAGCACUGGAUAGAGAGAGGAAAGAAAGCCAGAUGCCGUGUAUGCUCACUUCGCGGCAAAGAAAGUCGCACGGGUUUUUGAUGCUCAAAGUGCAACGUAGGCCUGUGUAUAGACAACUGUUUCAAAUUAUUUCACACAAAAACUAAUUUAGAAUAAAAAGAACUUUUUGAAGACCAUUUCCAAGAGUGAAACGUUAAAAAAAUGUAAUAAUAAAAAAUGAAAUGUGUAUUUUUUGUAUUAAAAAAUGUAAUUUAAAUUGUAAA